UGGGGAAUUUUGGACAAUGGGCGAAAGCCUGAUCCAGCAAUGCCGCGUGUGUGAAGAAGGCCUUCGGGUUGUAAAGCACUUUUGUCCGGAAAGAAAUCCUUGGCUCUAAUACAGUCGGGGGAUGACGGUACCGGAAGAAUAAGCACCGGCUAACUACGUGCCAGCAGCCGCGGUAAUACGUAGGGUGCAAGCGUUAAUCGGAAUUACUGGGCGUAAAGCGUGCGCAGGCGGUUUGCUAAGACCGAUGUGAAAUCCCCGGGCUCAACCUGGGAACUGCAUUGGUGACUGGCAGGCUAGAGUAUGGCAGAGGGGGGUAGAAUUCCACGUGUAGCAGUGAAAUGCGUAGAGAUGUGGAGGAAUACCGAUGGCGAAGGCAGCCCCCUGGGCCAAUACUGACGCUCAUGCACGAAAGCGUGGGGAGCAAAACAGGAUUAGAUACCCUGGUAGUCCACGCCCUAAACGAUGUCAACUAGUUGUUGGGGAUUCAUUUCCUUAGUAACGUAGCUAACGCGUGAAGUUGACCGCCUGGGGAGUACGGUCGCAAGAUUAAAACUCAAAUGAAUUGACGGGGUCAUAGCUGUUUCCU
RNAcentral lists this ribosomal RNA (586 nucleotides) under uncultured bacterium. RNAcentral's name for it is "partial 16S ribosomal RNA". It matches the Rfam family "Bacterial small subunit ribosomal RNA", at positions 355 to 1375 of the family's 1533-position model. The record is from RNAcentral.